GUGCCAGCCGCCGCGGUAAUACGAAAGGGGCUAGCGUUGUUCGGAAUUACUGGGCGUAAAGCGCGCGUAGGCGGCCUUGCAAGUUGGGGGUGAAAUCCCGGAGCUCAACUCCGGGACUGCCUUCAAAACUGCAAAGCUAGAGGAUGCGAGAGGUGAGCGGAAUUCCGAGUGUAGAGGUGAAAUUCGUAGAUAUUCGGAAGAACACCAGUGGCGAAGGCGGCUCACUGGCGCAUUUCUGACGCUGAGGCGCGAAAGCGUGGGGAGCAAACAGGAUUAGAUACCCUGGUAGUCCACGCCGUAAACGAUGGGUGCUAGAUGUUGGGGGCCUUUGGCUUCCGGUGUCGCAGCUAACGCGUUAAGCACCCCGCCUGGGGAGUACGGCCGCAAGGUUAAAACUUAAAGGAAUUGACGGGG
This 414-nucleotide ribosomal RNA is filed under the name uncultured prokaryote. Its description in RNAcentral is "bacterial SSU rRNA". It matches the Rfam family "Bacterial small subunit ribosomal RNA", at positions 505 to 918 of the family's 1533-position model. The record is from RNAcentral.